GUUUUUUGGCUGCCGGUGGUUUCACGCUAGCGACGUUUUGCCGUGAGGCAAAACUUGAAGCUUAAAAAAUGUACCUCUCUGUACAUUUUUUAAGCGGUA
This is a non-coding RNA of Treponema denticola ATCC 35405, 99 nucleotides long. NCBI's taxonomy places the organism in Bacteria, Pseudomonadati, Spirochaetota, Spirochaetia, Treponematales, Treponemataceae. The record is from Rfam.